This 200-nucleotide unclassified non-coding RNA is filed under the name Isaria sp. RNAcentral describes it as "partial internal transcribed spacer 2". The record is from RNAcentral. Lineage: Eukaryota; Fungi; Ascomycota; Sordariomycetes; Hypocreales; Cordycipitaceae.
UUAAGUUCAGCGGGUAGUCCUACCUGAUCCGAGGUCAACGUUCAGAGUUGGGGGUUUCACGGCGGGGCCGCGUCGGGUUUCCGGUGCGAGCUGUAGUACUUCGCAGAGGUCGCCGCGGACGGGCCGCCACUCCAUUCAGGGCCUGCGGCAGCCGCAGGUCCCCAACACAAGCCGGGGGCUUGAUGGUUGAAAUGACGCUC